Molecule: ribosomal RNA, 873 nt
Filed under: Elaiopezia waltersii
Lineage: Eukaryota; Fungi; Ascomycota; Pezizomycetes; Pezizales; Pezizaceae
Description: partial large subunit ribosomal RNA
Rfam family: Eukaryotic large subunit ribosomal RNA
Source: RNAcentral
UUGCCUCAGUAACGGCGAGUGAAGCGGCAAAAGCUCAGAUUUGAAAUCUGGUAUCAUUUUGGUGCCCGAGUUGUAAUCUGUAGAGGAGUAUUCGAGUGUAGCUUUGGCUUAAGUUCCUUGGAACAGGGCGUCAUAGAGGGUGAGAACCCCGUUAACGGCCUCAGUCUUAUGCUCAUGUGAAUCUUCUUCAACGAGUCGAAUUGUUUGGGAAUGCAGUUCUAAAUGGGUGGUAAAUUCCAUCUAAAGCUAAAUACUGGCAAGAGACCGAUAGCGCACAAGUAGAGUGAUCGAAAGAUGAAAAGAACUCUGAACAGAGAGUUAAACAGUACGUGAAAUUGUUGAAAGGGAAGCACUUGCUACCAGACGCACUUGCAGUCGAUCAACCUCCAUUUUUUGGUGGUGCACUCGGUUGUAGGUGGGCCAGCAUCAGUUACUAGCGGUGGGAUAAAGACCUUGGGAAUGUGGCUUCCUUCGGGGAGUGUUAUAGCCCUUGGUGUAAUACCAUCUGUUGUGACUGAGGACCGCGCUUUUGUGAGGAUGCUGGCAUAAUGGUCGUAAGUGACCCGUCUUGAAACACGGACCAAGGAGUCUAACAUCUAUGCGAGUGUUUGGGUGUUAAAACCCUUACGCGAAAUGAAAGUGAAUGGAGGUGGGAACCGCAAGGUGCACCAUCGACCGAUCCGGAUGUCUUCGGAAGGAUUUGAGUAGGAGCAUAGCUGUUGGGACCCGAAAGAUGGUGAACUAUGCCUGAAUAGGGUGAAGCCAGAGGAAACUCUGGUGGAGGCUCGCAGCGGUUCUGACGUGCAAAUCGAUCGUCAAAUUUGGGUAUAGGGGCGAAAGACUAAUCGAACCAUCUAGUAGCUGGUUCCGGCC